CGGCAACAGCUCAAAUUUGAAAUCUGCCCGCAAGGGCCGAGUUGUAAUUUGUAGAGGAUGCUUCGGCUUCGGCCCCGGUCUAAGUUCCUUGGAACAGGACGUCACAGAGGGUGAGAAUCCCGUUUGUGGCCGGCGGCCCCCGCCAUGUGAAGCUCCUUCGAC
This 162-nucleotide ribosomal RNA is filed under the name Tubeufiaceae sp. RNAcentral describes it as "partial large subunit ribosomal RNA". It matches the Rfam family "Eukaryotic large subunit ribosomal RNA", at positions 99 to 261 of the family's 3401-position model. Lineage: Eukaryota; Fungi; Ascomycota; Dothideomycetes; Tubeufiales; Tubeufiaceae. The record is from RNAcentral.